AUGCGAUAAGUAAUGUGAAUUGCAGAAUUCAGUGAAUCAUCGAAUCUUUGAACGCACAUUGCGCCCCCUGGUAUUCCGGGGGGCAUGCCUGUUCGAGCGUCAUUACAACCCUCAAGCUCUGCUUGGUAUUGGGCCCCGCCGACCCGGCGAGCCCUAAAAUCAGUGGCGGUGCCGUCUGGUUCCGAGCGUAGUAAUUCUUCUCGCUUUGGAGGCCGGGCGUGUGCUUGCCAGCAACCCCCAAUUUUUUUCAGGUUGACCUCGGAUCAGGUAGGGAUACCCGCUGAACUUAA
This 290-nucleotide unclassified non-coding RNA is filed under the name uncultured Leotiomycetes. Its description in RNAcentral is "partial contains 5.8S ribosomal RNA, internal transcribed spacer 2, and large subunit ribosomal RNA". The stretch from base 1 to 102 matches the Rfam family "5.8S ribosomal RNA", at positions 53 to 154 of the family's 154-position model. Lineage: Eukaryota; Fungi; Ascomycota; Leotiomycetes. The record is from RNAcentral.